UUUUUUUUUUUUUGAGUGCUACGAAAUGAUAGCUCUGCGCUAGCACCGCGCGACUCUGCUCCGUUCGUUGCUCUGGGAGGCCCCGUUUCGGUCUGUUUGGGCCGUGGUUGAAUAAAAGCCCAGGAGAGAUGGGCUAGUGAGCUCAGCAAGCAAAUGUCCUUCGUCCAGACUUUUUUCUUGCAAUUCUCAACAAAUAUAUUUUAUUUUAUUAUUCUAAAAAAGAGAAACGGAAAAAUCUAGACACCCAUACUAUUUAUUUUUGAGAAAUUUCUUUCAGCCGCCACCACUGGCAUCCCUUUACACUAUUUUCUUUUGUUUACAUGCUAAAAUAUGUAGCACCGGUACUACUUCACAGUUAAAACCAGCGACUUUCAAACAAUACGAGGCGAGGAUGCAUACUAGAAUGCUCUAGAUGUUACCAAAUACUUCCUCCGUUCUUAAAUAUUUGUCUUUUUAAACAUUCCAAAUGGACUAUCACAUAUGGAUGUAUGUAGACAUAUAUUAGUGUAGAUUCACUUAUUUCGGUGUUCUCCCUCCUCUAACGUGUCAUUAGCUCACCACAUAAUUUCUACUACUUAUGAAGGAUUGUCAUAUAAGCAAAUGCUUAUGAAGAGUUCACGUGGUUAUGUUCACUAGAAAAUAAUUAGUUGGUGGUAUUAUUAUUGCACAUCAAGAGAUAAUUGCACUUGACAAAGUUGCCUGCCUUGUGGAAAACACAAGACUGCUACAAAUGGUUCGGAGCCAAAACCAUGGUGAAAAGAUGCUCAUGUUCGACGGGAGAAGCUAUGCUCCUGUCAAUUCCGCAACCACGACAAUGGUGACUCUACUGUCUUCAUUUCACUUGACGCUCGAAGCUGACCCCGGAUUUAGGAAAACCUAACAAGUCAGUAGUUAGCCGUCUGCUCCUGCUUCAGUGCCCUCCAGCCGAUAUCUCGCCUGAAGAAUCCUUCCGGCCAGUCGACGACAUCCACCGCAUCGUAUGCUCUCGACCUCGCUUCUUCGAUGUCCUUGCCCUUCGCAGUGACGCCAAGAACUCGGCCUCCGACAGCUACAAGGUUGCCGUCUCCAUCCAAAGCUGUUCCAGCAUGGAAUAUCUUGACAGCCGGAGAAACCUGCUCGGCCUUGUCCAUGUUUUUUAUUACGGUGCCUUUCUUAUAAGAGCCAGGGUAUCCUUCGCUCGCCAUCACAACCACCAUCGCGAUUUCAGGCGACCAGGUUAGUGAAACCUUGCCCAGUUCGCCUCUGCAUGCGGAUAGCAGGACUUGUGCAAGAUCAGACUCCAAUCUCAUCAUCAAAACCUGACACAAAGGAAAGGAAUUAAUAAAUUAUUGCAGUACAGCCAGAAUUUGCUGGAAAAACAAAAUGUAAACAGGUAAACUAGGAGAAUUAAGAAACAUACUAAAAAUGCGGUAAGACAUUAUGUUGUGUACUUCAGAAGCACGAUAGCUCAUGUGAUAAUUUUCAAAAAAUCGCAUCAGCUAUCAAAUAUUUAUAAAUGCCUACCAAACUUAACAACGGCAUAUUGGACUGAACUGUGAGUUUAAAGUUGCAUCAUUAAUUUAAAAAUCAUAUGCCUAAGCAGACAGCUAAAAAUUGAAGAUCCCACAAAUGUCAGCAAAAUUGACUGAACUUCUGGAAUUACAUGAAACAAUAGAACAGCAAGAGGUGGCACAGAUAAUUGAAGAAAUAAAUAGCAAGCAAGUUCCAAAAGAAGAAAGCUUGAGCAGUGAACAAAAGCAGGCUGCACUGCUUCUGUGUCGCAAGUAAAUGAACAUGAGAAUAAGACACAAAGUUCAGAUGGCAUUUCUAAGGCACUCACUCUGUUACAAAUAUACAUUAUUUUGGACAUGAGCACAUUCUACAAGAUGUACCUCUGAAUGCCGAUUUCUCAUGUCAUAGACUAGAAUAUGUUACUAAAAAAUCACUUAACCAACAAGCUCUAAAGCAUGAGAACUUUAUUAAGGCAUCACUAAAGAAAGUAUGAAGAGAACUUCAUUAGGGCAAGUAUGAGGACAAACCCCGUUAGGAAGGAGUUCAACAACAUUGCAUUCUAUUGUGAUAUUGUCCAGCCUCAUCAAGAAUAUUUUGAUCAUACUGUGACUAAAAAAAAUGUAAUGCUUGAAUUGGGAAAUAUAAAUAUCUAAAGAGAAACUGACAGAUAAUCACUAACCUGGCAUUCUGGGUCCCCAAAUCGCACAUUAUAUUCAAUAAGCUUAGGCAGCCCAGAUUUCUUCUCUAUCAUAAGCCCGGCAUAUAACACACCAACAAACUUGCAUCCUUCAGCAGCCAUACCUUUAACAGUUGGAAUAAUUAUAGUUUCCAUGAUCACGCUCUUAAGCUCUUCGGUCACUAUUGGCGCAGGGGAGUAUGCACCCAUGCCACCCGUGUUUGGACCAGUAUCACCAUCUCCAACUCUUUUGUGAUCCUGUGCUGAUUCAAGUGGCAAAGCAUUUUCUCCAUCUACUAAUGCAAAGAAAGAGGCUUCUUCGCCCUCCAGAUACUCCUCAAUGACGACCCGUGAACCAGCAGAACCAAACGACUCGUCAACCAUCAUAGAGUUAAUUGCUUCGAAGGCCUCAUCCAAAGUCAUAGCAACAACGACGCCCUUUCCAGCUGCCAAUCCAUCAGCUUUGACAACAAUAGGGGCCCCUUGAUUCUUGAUGUACUCUUUAGCUUUUGCAGGAUCCGUGAAUGUGCGAUACUACAUCAUAGAGAGAAGAGUACUGGUAUUAGCUUCAAUUGUAUGCCUUAACAUCUGAAUCUACAGUAAGUAUCAACAAAGAGGAGUAUCAAUUUCACUGUUUUCUGCUAAAGUGAUUUCACAGUCCUUUUCUGCAGUAAUAAGAUGACUUCAUUUCAAAAAGCAAUCUGCCUUUAGAGGGAUAUCAAAUUAUCAACAAUGACUUAUGAACUAUGGUUGGAAAUAAUGCAGUCACACAAUGUUUGUCCAGCAGAAAGUAACAGUUCAUUGCAUAGCUUCUGUAUACUUAGUAGCAGCAAAUCGGCACAAAAUAAACACGGUUAACAGCAUUGCCUCAGGACGAACGAAAUAUUAAUGCCUAAAACAAUGUAACAUUUCUCUUAUGCAGGCAUCUCGUGAAAACAAACCCCUGUGGACCCUGGAAAAUGUAGUACUUAACACAAAUGUAAACUGAAUUACCUGAGCAGUCGGGAUAUUACACUUAUCACACAGUCUCUUCAUAAAGUCCUUUGACCCCUCUAAUGCUGCAGCCUCUGAUGAAGGACCAAACGUCGGUAUCCCAGCUUUGACAAGGUCAUUCGCAAGACCCGCAACGAGAGGACCUUCAGGACCCACUACCACCAUUCCCACUCCCCUCUUGCGGCAGAACGAUACAACAGCAUCACUACUGGAAAUGUCUAGGUCCGAUAUACAGAUCGCAUCCCUGGACUGAGCAAUGCCAGCAUUGCCAGGGGCGCAUAAAACUGUCCCGCAAGAAGGCGAACGGGUCAAAGCAUAACAGAGCGCAUGCUCCCUUCCUCCACCACCAAUGACGAGUACAGUUAUCCUCCCUUCUGAAGAACAGAACAAGACAAAAAAUUAGAACACUGGUGCUGCAAUUUACAUCAAACUGGCUGCUGGUGUUAACUAGAAGAAAGGUUUUGGGCAAUGCAUUUCGUCUCACGGCACAUUAGAAAUUGAGGUUUCAUAACAUAGAAAAGCAUCAUUCUUGUAACACCAUGGAGUUGUUGAAGAAAUCACACCUAACUGACCAAAAAUGUAAUUUACCUACCAGCAACAACGGUCCCGUCCUCCGGCGAAGCUUUCGGGAUUGAGCGCCAUCUUUCUGAAUUCCGGACAGACAGAUGAGAAUGGCAGGCGACGUGUUGCACUGCAUUAUUGGAGACAUUGCUACUCCAUGCCCGAGAAACGGGCCAAGACACCGAAGGCUUCCAGCCGCCGCACAGAUGAUUACUAUCCAGGCCAGGCCCCGUGGCAAGCUUGAGAUGCCCCCUGAUGCUGUAAGCCGCACAAGCCAUCGGGGCCGGCCCUGAGAUAGAGCAAAAAGGGCGCCCGCCCAAGGCCUUGUUCUGAGCUUAGGGAGCUAGUUGGCGGCGAGCUGGACAGCGGCGAGGUCGAGCUGGGGGCGGCGAGACGGGAUGGACGGGGGCGGCGGCGUCGAUUAUCUGGCGAAAGAUGGCCGCCGGCGGAGCACGUGGUCGGGGGCGGGGACGGGGGGGAGAAACGGCGGCUGAAAGGAGGAGGCGGCUAGGGUUGUCGUCGCGGGUUUGUUCGGUCAGGCCUGGGAGCCGGAUCCAGUGACUUGCCUCUGCCAAGUCACGCUGCAUCUUACCCAUCUACCAUCCAUUCAACAUCCAACGGACAACGCUAGUCAAGGAAUAUGUCACCUGCCGGACAGCUAACGGGGCAUGAGCACAAAUAGCUUUUUUUUCUUUNNNNNNNNNNNNNNNNNNNNNNNNNNNNNNNNNNNNNNNNNNNNNNNNNNNNNNNNNNNNNNNNNNNNNNNNNNNNNNNNNNNNNNNNNNNNNNNNNNNNNNNNNNNNNNNNNNNNNNNNNNNNNNNNNNNNNNNNNNNNNNNNNNNNNNNNNNNNNNNNNNNNNNNNNNNNNNNNNNNNNNNNNNNNNNNNNNNNNNNNNNNNNNNNNNNNNNNNNNNNNNNNNNNNNNNNNNNNNNNNNNNNNNNNNNNNNNNNNNNNNNNNNNNNNNNNNNNNNNNNNNNNNNNNNNNNNNNNNNNNNNNNNNNNNNNNNNNNNNNNNNNNNNNNNNNNNNNNNNNNNNNNNNNNNNNNNNNNNNNNNNNNNNNNNNNNNNNNNNNNNNNNNNNNNNNNAGUCCACAUGAAGUGGUAUAAAAAAAUAUCAUAGAGAUGGAUGAACCAUAGAUGUCGCCGUGAUCAAGAGCACAAAGUUAGUUGGAUCCGACGAUCAGCUAAUGGGCUGUCCAUGUGUUAGGAAAACUGGGUGUUCUUUUUGCAGGGUAGGAAAACAAGAUGUUGGUAGUAAGGUUUCUGAAUUUUAGGGCGAAGUACCCCGGAUUGUAUUUUGCGUGUUAUUUCGGAUGAAAUUCCUGUUUUAUAUCUUAAUAAAUAAAGAAGUAAGGUUGAUGCCAAAAAACACUUGCCUCAGUUAAAAAACCAGCAAACUUACAUUUUUUCAGGCAUCGAGCGCAGCACCGACCUUCGGUAAAAAAUGGUUCAACCUUGGGAUUGCUAAGGCAUUCGGCAACAGAACAUCAACUGAUAGUUUUCAAUAAAAAAAGAUUCAGACUUGGGAUUGCUCAGGAAUUCGACAACAGACCAAUGUCCUGUACUGAAUCAUCAAUAGUGAAAUUCAGUUUGGAACCACCCAACAAUGCGCAUUCUGCACUUAGCAGUAAUGGAAAACAACAGUCUAUAUGUUAUACGAAAUCAACAACACAUAAAUUCCGACUUACUGUAGUACUCUACAGCUAUGCUUAAUCAGUCUUGAAUUCAGUAGCACUUGUCAUUAGAAGUAAGGACCACUUAAAACUUAAAUUUGAACUCAGCAAAUAAUUUAUUUUUAGCAACAAGUGGUGGCACUGAACAAUCAUUCAAGUAAGAACAGACAAGCCAUUUCACUCGUACACUUAGCCCACAAAAUACUAUGGUUAGGCGCCAAAAUACAAAAGUUGUCCUUGUCCAAAAGACUAGCUACCCCGUCCAAAAUACUAUCUAGAUAUUAGAACAAAACAAUGAUAUUGUACUCUUUGAAAGCCACAUUUCUCCUUCUUUGAUAUCACCCCUGCCCAAAGUACUCUUUGAAUGCAUUCAUGAUAUCAAGCAAGAGAAAGAUCCACAGAGUUUUUGCGCCUAUAAGUUGGAGAUCUCGAAGGCAUAUGAUAGGGUGGAUUGAAACUUCUUGGAACAAGUGGUGCAAAAGUUGGGUUUCCCUCGUCCAUGGGUAGACUGAAUAAUGUCUUAUGUCAAGUUGGUGAGAUAUUCUCUGAAAUCUAAUGGGACCAUCUUGGAUUCAUUUGUAUCGUCCUCUGGUUUACGGCAAGGCGAUCCAUUACCCUCCCUUUUUUAUUCCUAUCUGUCGCUGACGGACUUUCUGCUCUUCUUAAGGCAAACUUGUUUAACUUAUGUUUGUACUCAGAUAUUGUUGAUUCCGCUGACUCGUCUAUGAUCAAGCUCUUGUAUUCGAGCCCUCGAGGCCCCUGGCUUGUAAUAUGAUGCUUGUAUGACUUAUUUUAUUUGUAGAAUUGUGUUGUGAUAUCUUCCCGUGAGUCCCUGAUCUUGAUCGUACACGUUUGCGUGUAUGAUUAGUGUACGAUUGAAUCGAGGGCGUCACAAGUUGGUAUCAGAGCCGACUGCCUGUAGGAAUCCCCCUUUCACACUCCUUGGCCGAAGUUGAGUCUAGUCGUUACAAAACUUUUACUAACAUGGAUGUGCGCCUUACGGGCCCACGUUGCCAUUGGGUGGUAUUAGGAUCUUUUACUCCUCGUCUAUACUCUGGGACUCUGAUCUCUCUCCUAUUCGGGUUAAAUGAUUUUGCUAAAAGGACUAAUUUUAGGUUCUCGAAAAUACUUUUUCCCGGGGAGCCCCUCACUCCAGAUGAUCGCUUGCUUCACCAGAAGAUAUUAAAUAUACUCUUCGAUCAUUCCCGAGACCCUUGUGCCCUCUGAUUUUUCAAUACCCUAAUACCGAUAUAUCCAUAUGGAUAACGGCAUACACUUGCCAUUCAUACAAUCAUUUUCCGUUGCUCUUGUUAUUCCAAGAUGCCCCGAAAUACUCUCCGUUGUCCCGAGAAUCCUUUGAGUUUACUGCCUUGCAGUCCUUUACCGCAUGAAUACCCCCUACGGAUAAUUCCUCGCACUUAUCGAGUAUCUGUUCAUCCCUAGUUGUUCGUAUGCUUCAUAAGAUACUCGAAAAUACUAUCCGAUCUUCCGAGGAUCCUCUCCAAACUAUUGCUCUGCAAAUACUUGUCUGCUUGCAUUAUGGAUGCUUCCCAUAUGUCUAGCGAUAUUCAUUAGUAUCCUUUGACACCGUCAUUUUGAUCCUAUUGAUUCAACAUGUGAGCGAAUGCGCGCAAACGUCAAUUCAUCCUUUUAAAUUAUCUUUCCGGCUCAGUUGUCAUUUUGAACAUGAGCUGGACCUCGACCAAUCAAAUUGCCGACGAUUGUACCUCUAAUACUAUUCAACUUAUCCAUCCCUAUUCAGAGCAUUGCUUCUGAUCCCUUGUCUUGGAAUCAUAAUUCAUGUGAAAUUGAGCUUUGAGUUAGUCAGUUGUUUCUAUCAUCUGAUCCCCUUGCAUUCUUUCUUCUUCUGGUAGAGUACUGAUACUCACAUCAGCUCCGUUGUGGAUCGUCAGAUCCAUUGUUGGAUUUCAUCCGACAUCGUCCUUAAUAUUCAAUAACCUUGUGAGCCUUUCCACAGGUAUAUAAUGCCUUUGGUAAAUUGUAUCCUCUGCCUUGUCAACCAUGCUCUACUUUCGAGCUUGUGUUAUUUACUCUCGAAGUUUGUGAUAUAUGUUCCUAAGAUACCCGAUGGUUUGAACUAAUGCCUCCCCUAAUCUGUGCAAACCCGAAAGAUUUCACAGGUCAUACUUAUCUGGUAUUGCACCAGGUAAAACUUUCAACAACUAAUGUCAUUUUCAAAAUACGAGAGGUAAAUGAAAGGUUAUGCGUUGAACAAGUGGGAGUCGACCUUGAACCCUGUGUUCAUGCCCAUGGAAACGAUGUAUACCUUAUCAUGGAAGCUUCUCUUAAAAUAAUUAUCCACUUGUUAUAAGUUCAUCUUGUAUCUGUGGAUAUGGUUCCGACCAUGUUUCCCCUUGAUUCCAUUUGUCGUGCAAGUUUGAGCACUUGUCUUCUGCAGAGCAUUACCCUAUUCCAACCUCUACUAUGACUUGUCGUCGAGUAUUACACCCUGGUAUCUCGAGAUUAUCAUGGAACUACAUACUUCUUAUGAGUUCUUCAUCAAGUGCUACAUUCUCACUGAUUCCAAUUUUUCACGGGCUCUGAGUUAUUAAACACUCAAAGACACCGAUAACUGACUGAAGUCUGCACCGCGAUUAAACAAAUCAUGGUAACCUUCAUGACUUAUGAGUUUGAACUCGAUCACGUCAUUCCUAGCCUGCUUGGCUAUAUUCUUGUCAUGCUGAUUUUAACUGUGCUACCUGGUCCUUCUUCCUAGAGCAAAAAUUUCGAGGUGAGCUAAUCUUACGUCGAUCUUCCUCGUCAUAACAAUUGUCCUUGAAUGACAAGCUUGAUUUCAAGUUUGUGUCGUACCUAUGGUUUCAAUAACUUCUCGCUUCAUCAUUCCGUUAACUUGAUGUCAUCGCCGAUCGGUUACAUCUUCUUGAAACCUCUCGACAAAAUGUGUCGUGAUCAUCAUCAACAUUUUGACCCCUUCCAAGAUAUCAAUUGAAUUCAUGAUGAGAAGUACCCUCCUUGCCCUCGAUGGUUUGUGUUAUCAUCGACCACUUUAUUGCCUUCUAUUCAACACAAACUUGUUCGUGUUUCUAGCAACCCUAUUGCUUUCAAGUUAAUGGUCGAUAUUUCAUUCUUAGACUAUUGCUUGUUGAAUCACCUUUCUAACAUUGAUCAUGCUACCUAAGACCAUAUUCUGGGUCCACUUUUCAACCAAUGCUUAAUUGUGUAUGUUUUUCUCGAGCAUACAUCCUUAUAUCAUUUGAUCCGACAAAUGUUAUCUCCUUGUUCACAUAAGUGUGGAAAUCCAUCUUUUGAAAUCUCAAUGAAUUGUCGUUGAGUUCAUCAGCCACCUCUUCAUCCUCUCCUUGGUUUUAAUGAUGAACUCUUGUUUCGGAACUCGCUUCCAUAGUACAUUUCCCGAGAAUCUUACAAUGUCAUCUCGUCAAUUGUGUUGUACCUUUUCUUCUCAGGCAUCCCGAGUCUGAGGCAUCCUGGCACCAAUCAGAUCUGAAUCUCGGUCAGAUAUGAUGGUCGGAACAUAUUUCCAAGAAUUAUUACAUUGGUCCUUAUAUAUCGGUAAGGUGAUGUCAUGCCUAUCACACCUGGCCAGAGGACUUGUUGUUAUAGAUUCCUUUUCAGCAAAGUUAUCCCUUCUUCCAUGAGGCAAUUGUAAGACCUAUUCUUCAAGUUAUUCCUGAUGGAUCCUUUGUGUCUCCAGAGUCUGAUCUUCACCUGUUGACCAUGUCAAUGCUAUCUCGAAGCAUGUAUGUGGUACUCCGAUUUUCAACAAGAACAUUUGAAGCCCAGAUGCUAAAUGUUUCCUGCUCAAAUAUCCAAACACCGCUGCAUGGGUAAAGUCAUGAAAUUUCGCUCACCUUACCUAAAGAGUUUUCUACAUUAUAUCCUGACAUGGAUAUCGUGCUCUGCUUGUCCUUGGGAAGGAUAUACCCCUGAAAUAUGUGUUUAAACACAUUUUCCUUUCCAUUCUUCCGUUUAAUAUGAUAAUCAUAUUUUUCCUUUCCAUUGUUUUGUUUAACCUUCUUGUAAUCUGACUUAGCUGAGAAGUAGUAAUUGUCUGCGUAUACAAACACCUCGGUGUACCAUCAUGUCUGGUGUAACCUUGAUACUAUUGUUGAUGACAUUCCGGUAACCACCGAUGGAUGAGAACUUUGCCUAUUGGUCCGCCUAGUUCAACGAGCAGGAAAAUGGUUCUCUUUGUCCCUCGCCCUUGGUACCGAUGUUGUUGCCGACAUAACCGAUAGGCUAUCCUCUGACACGCCUUGCUUACAUGAUCGUGCAAGACGUCACCACCCUUCCUACUUUUAACCCACAUGGUGGGCCCAUAACCCACAGUUCCACAUGAUCGAAACCUGACUCUCUUGUACACCUUGUUGACAAAGUUAUCCCUUGCUCUUGGUUUCGUAGGUAAUUCGCGAGCCACCUUCCUAGGGAUCUAUUCUGGUAUCAGACCCAAUACUUAUUCUCAUUGCUCUAGAUCCCUUUCACACUUGGUUUCAGGCAUAGAACGAUUGCCUACUCGCUCGAAACUUCUCAUGGUACCUACUUACUUUGCUCUCGAUAUUGUCUUAAGUUUCCAUUCGAGAGUUACUUUCCGCCACCUUCAUCGAUGUUAACGACCAGAUAGUCAACCUUGCAGCGAUCCAUUCUCCCAGAAUAACCACCCUUUAUUCUUUUGUAAGUGCGGCGGAGUUCCCGAAGAAAGGAUGAUGACUUCAUCAUGAGGACCUAAAGCAGAAAAAUGAAGAAUUCAAUGUAAUGGAUCGACCUCUUCGAGAAGAGCAACCAAGACCAAGAAGAAUCGUUAGAAUAUCAUAAUCUAUUCUCCCCCUUACUCCCCUCUUAAAUCUCAGGACGAGAUUUCUUGUAGUGGAUGAGAAUUGUGACGCCCGGAUAAUUAGACUACAGUAAUUCCCGGCUAAUGAUGCCACGUCACCUCGGUUACUGUUGCUAAUCUCACGAUAGUUCAAAACAGAUUCAAAUUCAAAAUUUAAUUUAAGUUAAAAAAUUAAAGUUUUCAAAAGUCAAAACUAAAAUGUUCUUACUGUGACAAAUAAUUCAUAAGAUAUAUUGGUGGAGAAACCAAGUCCUUAUAAAAUGCACUAAACAAAUUAAAUCAGUAGUUAAAACCAUUAAUUAAAUGCCUUUUAUAUUUUGUAAAAUGCUAAACUAUAUUAUUUUAGGAUGAAACUUUUUGUGGUUGUGACAUAAUUUGUAACAUCAAUUUAGGAGCCACUUUGGUAUUUUAUUAAAACUAAAAUAAUUAGGAGCAAAAGAAAAGAAACAUAAGAAAAAGUAAAGAAAACAAAACAAACAAAAAAAGGGCCAACCCCUCCCCCAUGGGCCUCGGCCCACCAGGGCACCACCUAGGCCGGCCCAGCCCCCUGGCUAUAACCCCCCAAACCCUAAGCUAUCCCCACACCCCCCUGAUCCGCCGUCACCCACAGGAGCGCUCGCGCGCACACAUCAUUCCUCGAGGGAGAGGAACUCCCUCGUGCUCAACACUGCGCCGGCGAACCCCCUCUGGCCGCCUCGCCGGCCCUCGCCCUCAUCCUCGCACCCCAUCCCCUCUCCCCCGUUGGCACCCCUCGCCGUGCUGACCGCGACCAUGCCAGGACGCCUCCAUGAUGCCACCCCGCUCUCGACUUCCUCCUCGGGCCUCCGCACGCCGCCGCCGACUCCGGCCACCCUGAGCCUCCCCUGAACCUGCUGCCAUGCCCUACGGCUCCACUGUGAGCUCCGCCAUCCGUCCCCUCCCUUUUCCUCUGCUCCCAUCGCCGUGGAACGCUCGAAGACAUCGCCGGACGCCGCCUCUGUCGGUGCGCUCACCGCGCCGAUAGCCGCGCCUGCUCGCGCACGCCCGCUCCUCGACGCAGUCGGGGCGCGCCUCGCAACCACUGCCCGCGCCCCGUGGCCUCACCGCUCCGCACGAGGCCUUGCCCACGUUCCCGCCGCCCCGUCCACUAUCGCUUCCCCGCCCUGCCUCUACUGUGCUGCUGCGUACGACUGCUGCCGCCAACGCCUUUCCUCGCGCGCCCAUCGGAGCUCUAGCUCCUCCAUCGACUGACCCCCCACGCUGCCGCGCCAGCGGUCGGUGUCGCCGGUCCUCACCCGCGGCCCCCCUGCUCGCCGGCCGACACGCGCCCGCCCCUGCAGUGGUUGUUGCCGUGGCCUGGGGCGUGCGCCCGUGCGGUCUGAGCGCUCACAGCGCCCCUGCGCCCGCAACCCGCCUUUCCUCGCGCGCCCGUUAGCCCCUCUAGGCAGCUGACCAGUGGGACCCGCCCCCGAAAAAAAGAGCAAAAAUAAAAAUAAUUAAUUAAUCUAUUAAUUAACCUAAUUAAGCUGCUUAAUUAACUUAACUUUAAUUAACUUGCUAGUUAACUAAUUAAACUAUAAUUAGGUAAAUCAGUGAAUGACAGUGGGCCCCACCUCUGUUGACCAGUUAAACUUUGACCGGUCAACUGGGACCCCCUUGGCCCGCAUGUCAGCCUUUGGUUACACAUCAGUGUACACAGAGCUGGGUACCUGUAGCAUUUCAACUUCUAUUUUCGAAUUAAAAUAAUUUCAGAAAUUCAUUAAAUCUUUUUUAAAUAAAUAUAAAAUAAACCGUGGCUCGGAUGGAAAAACUUUGUACAUGAAAGUUGCUCAGAACGACGAGACGAACCCAGAUACGUAGCCCGUUCGUCUGCCACACACCCCUAGCAUAUCAAACACGCAACUUUCCCCCUCCGGUUCACUGGCCCGAAAACGCGAAACACCGGGGAUACUUUCCCGGAUGUUUUCCCCCUUCGCCGGAAUCACCUAUCCCUGUGUUAGAUCACCUCUAGCAUCGUGUUUGUCAGGUUAUGUUUUGAUUGCUCUGUUAUUUAUUGUGUUCCCCUUCUGUUACUUUUUCCGGUAGACUCCGAGACCGCUGCCGGUACCCCUGUGAUCGACUACGGUGUUGACGACCCCUCUCUCUUGCCAGAGCAACCAGGCAAGCCCCCCAUUUGAUCACCAGAUAUCGCCUACUCUUCUCUAUAAUGCUUGCAUUAGAGUAGUGUAGCAUGUUACUGCUUUCCGUUAAUCCUAUCCUGAUGCAUAGCCUGUCAUUGUUGCUACAACUAUUGAUACCUUACCUGCAAUCCUAAAUGCUUAGUAUAGGAUGCUAGAUUAUCAUCAGUGGCCCUAUACCCUUGUCCGUCUGCCAUGCUAUAUAUACUACUGGGCCGUGAUCACUUCGGGAGGUGAUCAUGGGCAUAUACUAUAUACUUUACACUGUUACAUUACCGAUGAUACUGUUUGAAGAUGGGGGCUGAAGGGGCAGGUGGCUCCAUCCAGGUAGUGGUGGGCCUGAGUUCCCGACGGCCCCCGACUGUUACUUUGAGGCGGAGCGACAAGGCAGGUUGACACCACCUAGGAGAGAGGUGGGCCUGGCCCUGGUCGGCGUUCGCGGACACUUAACACGCUUAACGAGAUCUUGGUAUUUGAUCUGAGUCUGGCUACUGGCCUAUACGCACUAACAAUCUACACGGGGACAGUUAUGGGCACUCGACGUCGUGGUAUCAGCCAAAGCCUUCGUGACGUCAGCGACCGAGCGGCGCGUGCCGGGUUGGACCGCGUAACGCAACUUCCUUUGUAAUGGAGGUUGCUAGGUCUGCUCACCGGCCGCGUACGCAACAUGCAGGUGUGCAAUGGGCGAUGGGCCCAGACCCCUGCGCCAUAGGAUUUAGACCGGCGUGCCGACCUCUCGUUGUGCCUAGGUAGGUUUGCGACGUGUUGAUCUUCCGAGGCCGGGCAUGACCCAGAAAAGUGUGUCCGGCCAAAUGGGAUUGAGCGUGUUGGGUUAUGUGGUGCACCCCAGCAGGGAAGUUAAUCUAUUCGAAUAGCCGUGAUCUUCGAUAACAGGACGACUUGGAGUUGUACGUUGACCUUAUGACAACUAGAACCGGAUACUUAAUAAAACACACCCUUCCAAGUGCCAGAUACAACCGAUGAUCGCUCUCUCACAGGGCGACGAGGGGAGGAUCAUCGGUUAGGAUUAUGCUAUGCGAUGCUACUUGGUGAACUUACCAUCUAUUCUCUUCUCCUGCUGCAAGAUGGAGGUUACCAGAAGCGUAGUCUUCGACAGGACUAGCUAUCCCCCUCUUAUUCCGGCAUUCUGCAGUUCAGUCGACAUAUGAUACCCUUACUCCAUUUGAUACCAAUGCAUACAUAUGUAGUGUAGCUCCUUGCUUGCGAGUACUUUGAAUGAGUACUCACGGUUGCUUUGCUCCCUCUUUCCCCCCUUUCUAUACCCGAUUGCUGCGACCAGACGUUGGAGCCCAGGAGCUAGACGCCACCGUCGACGACUACUACUACUACUCGGGAGGUGCCUUCUACUACGUGCAGCCCGCUGACGACGACCUGGAGUAGUUUAGGAGGAUCCCAGGCAGGAGUCUUGCGCCUCUUUCGAUCUGUAUCCCAGUUUGUGCUAGCCUUCUUAAGGCAAACUUGUUUAACUUAUGUCUGUACUCAGAUAUUGUUGCUUCCGCUGACUCGUCCAUGAUCGAGCUCUUGUAUUAGAGCCCUCGAGGCCCCUGGCAUGUAAUAUGGUGCUUGUAUGACUUAUUUUAUUUGUAGAGUUGUGUUGUGAUAUCUUCUCGUGAGUCCCCGAUAUUGAUCAUACACGUUUGCGUGUAUGAUUAGUGUAUGAUUGAAUCGGGGGCGUCACAAGUUGGUAUCAGAGCCGACUGCCUAUAGGAAUCCCUCUUUCACACUCCUUGGCCGAAGUUGAGUCUAGUCAUUACAAAACUUUUACUAACAUGGUUGUGCGCCUUACAGACCCACGUUGCCAUUGGGUGGUAUUAGGAUCUUUUACUCCUCGUCUAUACUCUGGGACUCUGAUCUCUCUCCUAUUCGGGUUAAAUGAUUUUGCUAAAAGGACUAACUUUAGGUUCUCGAAAAUACUUUUUCCCGGGGAGCCCCUCACUCCAGAUGAUCGCUUGCUUCACCAGAAGAUAUUGAAGAUACUCUUCGAUCAUUCGCGAGACCCUUGUGCCCUCUGAUUUUUCAAUACCCUAAUACCGAUAUAUCCAUAUGGAUAACGGCAUACACUUGCCAUUCAUACAAUCAUUUUCCAUUGUUCUUGUUAUUCCAAGAUGCCCCGAAAUACUCUCAGUUGUCCCGAGAAUCCUUUGAGUUUACUGCCUUGCAGUCCUUUACCACAUGAAUACCCCCUACGGAUAAUUCCUCGCACUUAUCGAGUAUCUGUUCAUCCCUAGUUGUUCAUAUCCUUCAUAAGAUACUCGAAAAUACUAUCCGAUCUUCCGAGGAUCCUCUCCAAACUAAUGCUCUGCAAAUACUUGUCUGCUUGCAUUAUGGAUGCUUCCCAUAAGUCUAGCGAUAUUCAUUAGUAUCCUUUGACACCGUCAUUUUGAUCCUAUUGAUUCAACAUGUGAGCGAAUGCGCGCAAACGUCAAUUCAUCCUUUUAAAUUAUCUUUCCGGCUCAGUUGUCAUUUUGAACAUGAGCUGGACCUCGACCAAUCAAAUUGCCGACGAUUGUACCUCUAAUACUAUUCAACUUAUCCAUCCCUAUUCAGAGCAUUGCUUCUGAUCCCUUGUCUUGGAAUCAUAAUUCAUGUGAAAUUGAGCUUUGAGUUAGUCAGUUGUUUCUAUCAUCUGAUCCCCUUGCAUUCUUUCUUCUAAUGGUAGAGUACUGAUACUCACAUCAGCUCCGUUGUGGAUCGUCAGAUCCAUUGUUGGAUUUCAUCCGACAUCGUCCUUAAUAUUCAAUAACCUUGUGAGCCUUUCCACAGGUAUAUAAUGCCUUUGGUAAAUUGUAUCCUCUGCCUUGUCAACCAUGCUCUACUUUCGAGCUUGUGUUAUUUACUCCCGAAGUUUGUGAUAUAUGUUCCUAAGAUACCCGAUGGUUUGAACUAAUGCCUCCCCUAAUCUGUGCAAACCCGAAAGAUUUCACAGGUCAUACUUAUCUGGUAUUGCACCAGGUAAAACUUUCAAUGACUAAUGUCAUUUUCAAAAUACGAGAGGUAAAUGAAAGGUUAUGCGUUGAACAAGUGGGAGUCGACCUUGAACCCUGUGUUCAUGCCCAUGAAAAUGAUGUAUAACUUAUCAAGGAAGCUUCUCUUAAAAUAAUUAUCCACUUGUUAUAAGUUCAUCUUGUAUCUGUGGAUAUGGUUCCGACCAUGUUUCCCCUUGAUUCCAUUUGUCGUGCAAGUUUGAGCACUUGUCUUCUGCAGAGCAUUACCCUAUUCCAACCUCUACUAUGACUUGUCGUCGAGUAUUACCCCCUGGUAUCUCGAGAUUAUCAUGGAACUACAUACUUCUUAUGAGUUCUUCAUCAAGUGCUAUUUUCUCACUGAUUCCAAUUUUUCACGGGCUCUGAGUUAUUAAACACUCAAAGACACCGAUAACUGACUGAAGUCUGCACCGCGAUUAAACAAAUCAUGGUAACCUUCAUGACUUAUGAGUUUGAACUCGAUCACGUCAUUCCUAGCCUGCUUGGCUAUAUCCUUGUCAUGCCGAUUUUAACUGUGCUACCUGGGCCUUCUUCCUAGAGCAAAAAUUUCGAGGUGAGCUAAUCUUACAUCGAUCUUCCUCGUCAUAACAAUUGUCCUUGAAUGACAAGCUUGAUUUCAAGUUUGUGUGUUACCUAUGGUUUCAAUAACUUCUCGCUUCAUCAUUCCGUUAACUUGAUGUCAUCGCCGAUCGGUUACAUCUUCUUGAAACCUCUCGACAAAAUGUGUCGUGAUCAUCAUCAACAUUUUGACCCCUUCCAAGAUAUCAAUUGAAUUCAUGAUGAGAAGUACCCUCCUUGCCCUUGAUGGUUUGUGUUAUCAUCGACCACUUUAUUGCCUUCUAUUCAACACAAACUUGUUCGUGUUUCUAGCAACCCUAUUGCUUUCAAGUUAAUGGUCGAUAUUUCAUUCUUAGACUAUUGCUUGUUGAAUCACCUUUCUAACAUUGAUCAUGCUACCUAAGACCAUAUUUUGGGUCCACUUUUCAACCAAUGCUUAAUUGUGUAUGUUUUCCUCGAGCAUACAUCCUUAUAUCAUUUGAUCUGACAAAUGUUAUCUCCUUGUUCACAUAAGUGUGGAAAUCCAUCUUUUGGAAAUCUCAAUGAAUUGUCGCUGAGUUCAUCAGCCACCUCUUCAUCCUCUCCUUGGUUUUAAUGAUGAACUCUUGUUUCGGAACUCGCUUCCAUAGUACAUUUCCCGAGAAUCUUACAAUGUCGUCUCGUCAAUUAUGUUGUACCUUUUCUUCUCAGGCAUCCCGAGUCUGAGGCAUCCUGGCACCAAUCUGAUCUAAAUCUCGGUCAGAUAUGAUGGUCGGAACAUAUUUCCAAGAAUUAUUACAUUGGUCCUUAUAUAUCGGUAAGGUGAUGUCAUGCCUAUCACACCUGGCCAGAGGACUUGUUGUUAUAGAUUCCUUUUCAGCAAAGUUAUCCCUUCUUCCAUGAGAGAAUUGUAAGACCUAUUCUUCAAGUUAUUCCUGAUGGAUCCUUUGUGUCUCCAGAGUCUGAUCUUCACCUGUUGACCAUGUCAAUGCUAUCUCGAAGCAUGUAUGUGGUACUCUGAUUUUCAACAAGAACAUUUGAAUCCCAGAUGCUAAAUGUUUCCUGCUCAAAUAUCCAAACACCGUUGUAUGGGUAAAGUCAUGAAAUUUCGCUCACCUUACCUAAAGAGUUUUCUACAUUGUAUCCUGACAUGGAUAUCGUGCUCUACUUGUCCUUGGGAAGGAUAUACCCCUGAAAUAUGUGUUUAAACACAUUUUCCUUUCCAUUCUUCCGUUUAAUAUGAUAAUCAUAUUUUUUCCUUUCCAUUGUUUUGUUUAACCUUCUUGCAAUCUGACUUAGCUGAGAAGUAGUAAUUCUCUGCGUAUGCAAACACCUUGGUGUACCAUCAUGUCUGGUGUAACCUUGAUACUAUUGUUGAUGACAUUCCGGUAACCACCGAUGGAUGAGAACUUUGCGUAUUGGUCCGCCUAGUUCAACGAGCAGGAAAAUGGUUCUCUUCGUCCCUCGCCCUUGGUAGUUGCCGACAUAACCGAUAGGCUAUCCUCUGACACGCCUUGCUUACAUGAUCGUGCAAGACGUCACCGCCCUUCCUACUUUUUACCCACAUGGUGGGCCCAUAACCCACAGUUCCACAGGAUCGAAACCUGACUCUCUUGUACACCUUGUUGACAAAGUUAUCCCUUGCUCUUGGUUUCGUAGGUAAUUCGCGAGCCACCUUCCUAGGGAUCUAUUCUGGUAUCAGACCCAAUACUUAUUCUCGUUGCUCUAGACCCCUUUCACACUUGGUUUCAGGCAUCGAACGAUUGCCUACUCGCUCAAAACUUCUCAUGGUACCUACUUACUUUGCUCUCGAUAUUGUCUUAAGUUUCCAUUCGAGAGUUACUUUCCGCCACCUUCAUCGAUGUUAACGACCAGAUAGUCAACCUUGCAGCGGUCCAUUCUCCCAGAAUAACCACCCUUUAUUCUUUUGUAAGUGCGACGGAGUUCCCGAAGAAAGGAUGAUGACUUCAUCAUGAGGACCUAAAGCAGAAAAAUGAAGAAUUCAAUGUAAUGGAUCGACCUCUUCGAGAAGAGCAACCAAGACCAAGAAGAAUCGUUAGAAUAUCAUAAUCUAUUCUCCCCCUUACUCCCCUCUUAAAUCUCGGGACGAGAUUUCUUGUAGUGGAGGAGAAUUGUGACGCCCGGAUAAUUAGACUACAGUAAUUCCCGGCUAAUGAUGCCAUGUCACCUCGGUUACUAUUGAUAAUCUCACGAUAGUUCAAUACAGAUUCAAAUUCAAAAUUUAAUUUAAGUUAAACAAUUAAAGUUUUCAAAAGUCAAAACUAAAAUGUUCUUACUGUGACAAAUAAUUCAUAAGAUAUAUUGGUGGAGAAACCAAGUCCUUAUAAAAUGCACCAAACAAAAUAAAUCAGUAGUUAAAACCAUUAAUUAAAUGCCUUUUAUAUUUUGUAAAAUGCUAAACUAUAUUAUUUUGGGAUGAAACUUUUUGUGGUUGUGACAUAAUUUGUAACAUCAAUUUAGGAGCCACUUUGGUAUUUUAUUAAAACUAAAAUAAUUAGGAGCAAAAGAAAAGAAACAUAAGAAAAAGUAAAGAAAACAAAACAAACAAAAAAAGGGCCAACCCCUCCCCCAUGGGCCUCGGCCCAUCAGGGCAGCACCUAGGCCGGCCCAGCCCCCUGGCUAUAACCCCCCAGGGGUCCAGCCCCAAACCCUAAGCUGUCCCCACUCUCCCCUGAUCCGCCGUCACCCACAGGAGCGCUCGCGCGCACACAUCAUUCCUCGAGGGAGAGGAACUCCCUCGUGCUCAACACUGCGCCGGCGAACCCCCUCUGGCCGCCUCGCCGGCCCUCGCCCUCAUCCUCGCGCCCCAUCCCCUCUCCCCCUGUUGGCACCCCUCGCCGCGCUGACCGCGACCACGCCAGGACGCCUCCACGAUGCCGCCCCGCUCUCGACUUCCUCCUCGGGACUCCGCACGCCGCCGCCGACUCCGGCCACCCCGAGCCUCCCCCGAACCUGCUGCCAUGCCCUAUGGCUCCACUGUGAGCUCCGCCAUCCGUCCCCUCCCUUCUCCUCUGCUCCCGUCGCCGUGGAACGCUCGAAGACAUCGCUGGCCGCCGCCUCUGUCGGUGCGCUCAGCGCGCCGAUAGCCGCGCCUGCUCGCGCACGCCCGCUCCUCGACGCAGCCGGGGCGCGCCUCGCAACCACUGCCCGCGCCCCGUGGCCUCACCGCUCCGCACGAGGCCUUGCCCGCGUUCCCGCCGCCCCGUCCACUAUCGCUUCCCCACCCUGCCUCUGCUGCGCUGCUGCGUACGACUGCUGCCGCCAACGCCUUUCCUCGCGCGCCCGUCGGAGCUCUGGCUCCUCCAUCGACUGACCCCCCACGCUGCCGCGCCGGCGGUCGGCGUCGCCGGUCCUCACCCGUGGCCCCCCUGCUCGCCAGCCGACACGCGCCCGCCCCUGUAGUGGCUGUUGCCGUGGCCUGGGGCGUGCGCUCGUGCAUCUGGGCGCUCACAGCGCCCCUGCGCCCGCAACCCGCCUUUCCCCGCACGCCCGUUAGCCCCUCUAGGCAGCUGACCAGUGGGACCCGCCCCUGAAAAAAACAAGCAAAAAUAAAAAUAAUUAAUUAAUCUAUUAAUUAACCUAAUUAAGCUUCUUAAUUAACUUAACUUUAAUUAACUUGCUAGUUAACUAAUCAAACUAUAAUUAGGUAAAUCAGUGAAUGACAGUGGGCCCCACCUCUGUUGACAAGUUAAACUUUGACCGGUCAACUGGGACCCCCUUGGCCCGCAUGUCAGCCUCUGGUUACACAUCACUGUACACAGAGCUGGGUACCCGUAGCAUUUCAACUUCUAUUUUCGAAUUAAAAUAAUUUCAGAAAUUCAUUAAAUCCUUUUUAAAUAAAUAUAAAAUAAACCGUAGCUCGUAUGGAAAAACUUUGUACAUGAAAGUUGCUCAGAACGACGAGACGAACCCGGAUACGCAGCCCGUUCGUCCUCCACACACCCCUAGCAUAUCAAACACGCAACUUUCUCCCUCCGGUUCACCGGUCCGAAAACGCGAAACACCGGGGAUACUUUCCCGGAUGUUUUCCCCCUUCACCGGAAUCACCUAUCCCUGCGUUAGAUCACCUCUAGCACCGCGUUUGUCAGGUUAUGUUUUGAUUGCUCUGUUAUUUAUUGUGUUCCCCUUCGGUUACUUUUUCCGGUAGACCCCGAGACCGUUGUCGGUACCCCUGUGAUCGACUACGGUGUUGACGACCCCUCUCUCUUGCCAGAGCAACCAGGCAAGCCCCCCAUUUGAUCACCAAAUAUCGCCUACUCUUCUCUAUACUGCUUGCAUUAGAGUAGUGUAGCAUGUUACUGAUUUCCGUUAAUCCUAUCCUGAUGCAUAGCCUGUCAUUGUUGCUACAACUAUUGAUACCUUACUUGCAAUCCUAAAUGCUUAGUAUAGGAUGCUAGAUUAUCAUCAGUGGCCCUACACCCUUGUCCAUCUUCCAUGCUAUACUACUGGUCCGUGAUCACUUCAGGAGGUGAUCACGGGCAUAUACUAUAUACUUUACACUGUUACAUUACCGGUAAUACUGUUUAGAGAUGGGGCUGAAGGGGCAGGUGGCUCCAUCCAGGUAGUGGUGGGCCUGAGUUCCCGACAGCCCCCGACUAUUACUUUGAGGCGGAGCGACAGGGCAGGUUGAGACCACCUAGGAGAGAGGUGGGCCUGGCCCUGGUCAGCGUUCGCGGAUACUUAACACGCUUAAUGAGAUCUUGGUAUUUGAUCUGAGUCUGGCUACUGGCCUAUACGCACUAACCAUCUACGCGGGGACAGUUAUGGGCACUCGACGUCGUGGUAUCAGCCAAAGCCUUCGUGACGUCAGCGACCGAGCGGCGCGCGCCGGGUUGGACCGCGUAAAGCAACUUCCUUUGCAAUGGAGGUUGCUAGGUCUGCUCACCGGCCGCGUACGCAACAUGCAGGUGUGCAAUGGGCGAUGGGCCCAGACCCCUGCGCCAUAGGAUUUAGACCGGCGUGCCGACCUCUCGUUGUGCCUAGGUAGGUUUGCGACGUGUUGAUCUUCCGAGGCCGGGCAUGACCCAGAAAAGUGUGUCCGGCCAAAUGGGAUUGAGCGUGUUGGGUUAUGUGGUGCACCCCUGCAGGGAAGUUAAUCUAUUCGAAUAGCCGUGAUCUUCGGUAACAGGACGACUUGGAGUUGUACCUUGACCUUAUGACAACUAGAAUCGGAUACUUAAUAAAACACACCCUUCCAAGUGCCAGAUACAACCGGUGAUCGCUCUCUCACAGGGCGACGAGGGGAGGAUCAUCGGUUAGGAUUAUGCUAUGCGAUGCUACUUGGUGAACUUACCAUCUAUUCUCUUCUCCUGCUGCAAGAUGGAGGUUACCAGAAGCGUAGUCUUCGACAGGACUAGCUAUCCCCCUCUUAUUCCGGCAUUCUGCAGUUCAGUCGACAUAUGAUACCCUUACUCCAUUUGAUACCAAUGCAUACAUAUGUAGUGUAGCUCCUUGCUUGCGAGUACUUUGAAUGAGUACUCACGGUUGCUUUGCUCCCUCUUUUCCCCCUUUCUAUACCCGAUUGCUGCGACCAGACGUUGGAGCCCAGGAGCUAGACGCCACCGUCGAUGACUACUACUACUACUCAGGAGGUGCCUUCUACUACGUGCAGCCCGCUGACGACGACCUGGAGUAGUUUAGGAGGAUCCCAGGCAGGAGUCCUGCGCCUCUUUCGAUCUGUAUCCCAGUUUGUGCUAGCCUUCUUAAGGCAAACUUGUUUAACUUAUGUCUGUACUCAGAUAUUGUUGCUUCCGCUGACUCGUCUAUGAUCGAGCUCUUGUAUUCGAGCCCUCGAGGCCCCUGGCUUGUAAUAUGAUGCUUUUAUGACUUAUUUUAUUUGUAGAGUUGUGUUGUGAUAUCUUCCCGUGAGUUCCUGAUCUUGAUCGUACACAUUUGCGUGUAUGAUUAGUGUACGAUUGAAUCGGGGACGUCACAUCCUACUUGGAGGGGGGCUCCUACUCCCCCUCCCUUGGCCAGCGCCCCAAGGGGGCUCUUAAUUCCCCCUUGGUGACAGCCCCCUCUCCCCCACCCCCAAUCAUAUACUCCCUCCGUUCCAAAAUAAGUGACUCAACAUUGUACUAACUUUAGUACAAAGUUGGUACAAAGUCGAGUCACUUAUUUUUGGAUGGAGGGAGUAUAUACUAGAGGAUGUCCACCCUAUGAUUAGAUAAGUUUUGAAUCCUCCUCUAGUUGAUUUAGUGCGCGUUCUAGUUGAUCCUAGUUGACUAAUUAGAGCGAGCCUUGGCCACCUCUAAUCCUCAUAAUUCGAAGUCCCGUGUGGUUCUAAUCUUCUCCUUCUAAUUCUCCGGCGAUGAUUAGCUCUGGACGGCGAAGCACUACUGGAUCGUGAAGACCAUACGCUUGCAACCAAGUAGAGAGGCCGUGCUUUCGGUCUUCCGUUCGAGGGAUCAUUCAUGGGCGGUUUGCAGGAUCACCAUCAACGCUCGAGAGAUUUCAAGUACGAUCUGCACCGACUCGUCUACUUUCACUGCACCUCCAGAGUCGGUAACGAUCAUUGAUCACAACUCGUUUAUGCAUCUUCAUAUUGUUCUUGGGUGUUCAUAGGACAAUUUUUUUUGUUUUCUACUACGUUUCCCAAUAGAGACGUGCCCACGGAAGACCUCGCCGCCGCCGGCACUGCUUGAGCUUUGCCCGACAGAGACCCUCGACAGCGNNNNNNNNNNNNNNNNNNNNNNNNNNNNNNNNNNNNNNNNNNNNNNNNNNNNNNNNNNNNNNNNNNNNNNNNNNNNNNNNNNNNNNNNNNNNNNNNNNNNNNNNNNNNNNNNNNNNNNNNNNNNNNNNNNNNNNNNNNNNNNNNNNNNNNNNNNNNNNNNNNNNNNNNNNNNNNNNNNNNNNNNNNNNNNNNNNNNNNNNNNNNNNNNNNNNNNNNNNNNNNNNNNNNNNNNNNNNNNNNNNNNNNNNNNNNNNNNNNNNNNNNNNNNUACUUCAAAUUCUGCAAUAUGCAGCGUGUAUGUACAACAACCAAACCCAAAAAAAGACCAAUUCAAAUCCCAAUUUUUAUCUCACUUUUUCGGGGUUUUUUUCUUGCUGUUUUAUGAAAAAAGAAUGCUAUUAUGUACAAUCCGAAGUGUGCCCUGCUGAUCAGUGAUCACCGGCUUGCAGCAGUGCUCAUGAACUUGAUGACCAUGCUCCUGGCCUUGUUGAUGGUCAUGAAGCAGAGGAAGAGGUGCUCCUCCAGCUCGUCCAGCUGCUGCCUGAAGCUCUCCUCGUUCUUGCACAGCUGCCUCAGCACCUCCCGCACCAGCCUCCCCUUCCCGGCACCGGCGCCGGCGGCGGCCUCCUCGGCCACGCAGAGCUGCAGCAGCGCGAGCAUGUACUCCCCCUCGUCGCGCACCCGCUCCACCAGCCGGCUGAUGGUGUCCAUGUCCCGGUUGAGGAUGUAGGUGCCCUUGGCCGCGGCCUCCAGCUGCACCAGCGCCCGGCGCGCCGCGCGGCCGCUGAAGAGCCCCAUCCACGCGGGCGACAUCAUCGGGAACGCCGCGAACGCCGCCAGGACGUGCACGCCGACGCACGCGCCGACGACAGCCACGACGGCGACGACCGUGACGAAGGACACCGAGAGCGCCUGCCUGAGCCGGGCGAGCGUCCUGAUCCUGCGGCGCGCGGCCUUCCUGCCGCAGUCGAGGCCCUUGAGGAGUUCCGCGGAGCUGAGCCGCGCGUCCCCGAGCCUGCCCUGCGUGGCCGCCAGCGCGGUGAAUGGCCUCCCGAGCGCGGCGGAGACGUCGGCGAGGCUCCCGCCGGGGCCGAGCCUGCCGCGGAGCGCGGCCUUGAGCGGGCGGUAGCGGAGGCGGAUCUGCUCGAUGUCCUUGAGGAGGUGGCUGCAGAGGAAGGAGGCGCCGGCCGUCUCGUCGUAGUAGGCGGAGAGGAGACCGUGCACGUCCGGGCGGUUGCGCGCGGAGGCGAGCGCGGCGGCGGCGGCGGCCUGGUCGGGGUCGAGCAGGUGCUCGGCGAAGACGCGGUAGGAGGAGAGGCGCUUGGAGGCGGCGCUGGUGGCGGAGGCGGGCCUGGGCACGAGGGCGGCGCCGUGGGCGAGCGUGAUGUCCAGCACCCGCGCCCAGAAGUCGUUGUAGGACUCGGUGCGGAACGCGCUGGUGUACUCCUCCCGGAAGUCCAGCCCCGACGAGGACGACGCCGAGGCCGACGACGCCGCGCUCUGCAGCUGGCCCGUCGGCUUCUUGGGGUCACGGUGGCGAGCUCCUGCGUGCCAUCACCAAAGAAAGAAAGGAUUAGCAGGCGUACGAGAAGCAGCUGAUGGAAAUCAUCAAAGAUGUGCACGGUCGAUGCGUGCAGGACGACGUGGUGAGCGCGCGCGCGAGCUCUGUGGGCGGCUGGGGCUGGCUACCUUGUUGCGGGUGACGCCGCCGCGUGCACGGCCACGGGCCGAAACACUUGAACAUCAUGGUACCGACGGCCAUCUCUGAUCUCUCUGGGUGCCGGCCGGCGAGAUAAUGAACAAGCAAGGUGAAUUCUUUGGUGAAUGGACAUCUCACAUAUGCGAAACGGUCUAGCUAUAUACGUGUGGAUAAACCGGCUAGUUAAGUCGGCAGGCUAAUGAAGGGGGAUAGUGGUGCUAAUGAUGAUUGGGCCUGGGCAUGUACGUAUGUGUCGAAGCGAGGCGACGCCAAAGAAGGUUUGGUUGCUUUGUGGAGAUGUCUGCCGUGCUCCGGCACGCAUGCAUGCACGCGCCGCCGUACGCUACCGCGGCUGGCUUUCGCACCCGGCACAUACCACAGGCCGGCUGGCUCCUCCUCCGGCCCUACCGAGUCCGAUGCAGGAUGGCUAGGACAAUUGGUCCUAGCUAGCUAGCUACUCUUGGAGAAAAAUGAAAUUACUACUAGUUAUUAGUGGCCAACUAUACGUAGCAAGUAUAUAUUCUUGUUCUUCCCAUACUAGUCAAAGCUCAAAAUUCUUUUUGAGGGUGUCAAAGCUCAAAUUUGAGUGGUGAAACCAUAUGAAGAACAGAGAGACAGUACACGUAUAUAUACACCAGCUAACGAGAACAAUUAGCACGGGAUCGAUGCACGUAAGUAUUACAUGUAUUUUUCUUUUUUUUUUGAGAAUCACCGAGGAAGGAGUUCCUCCAUCUGAAUAUAUUACUCAAAGUGGCCAAAAAUGCACGCAAGUAUUACAGGUAUUAAUUGUUUACACAACAUACGUACGUACGUAUGCACGUACCUUGGCGGUCAGCAACCGCAGCGGGGUGAGGGUGCACGCACCCGCCAAACCCAAAGCACCUGAGGUAGUAGGCAGCGCCCAUGGAUGAAAAACCAAUUAGUGCAUGCACUGUUUCGCCGAUGCUAGCCACUCCCGUGUGUGCGCGUACGUAUAUACAACAGGCGGAGGUAUGUCUGCUCCCUUUGACCAGGGUGGCUAAGCUAGGACGUAGUGUCUGUGUACGUGUCUCUUCCCGUCCAAGUGAAACAAUGAGGCUGCCCUGUGAUGGGACAAGCACAGGCUGGCUAGCUUAUAAAGCCUGUCGGCCUCGGCGCUCCGGCCGUUAAGACACCGCCGUGUCUGCGGUGGUGGUGCAGUGGAUCGUAGCUAGCUUGGGCGGAAAGGCAAGCCAUCGACCUUCCUUCCAAAUCCAAUCAUCGGUUGGAGCUAGUUGGAGGACGACGACGAAGCUUGGAAGCAUGCCCAAGACCGGCCGGUCGAGGUUGGCAACCACUCCAAGGCAAACACAAAGCCACCAUCAUCAAAAAGGAAGGAACGCAGCUACGACACAAGGCUAGGCUCGACCAAGCCAUCGUUAUCGUCGUCGUCGUCGGGUUUCCAGGGGCCGCGUGCGGAGGCCCGUCGGACGGACGCGGGCCAGCAUCUAUCUAUCCAUCGCCGGCGCGUUGCCUUCGCGCGUGGCCCGCCGGCUCCACGAUGGGAUCCUCGUCUCAUCCUGCGUGGGUGGCGGCGCGGAACCUGGGGAUGGAUGGAUGGAUGGAUGGAUGGAUGACUGGAUUUGCGUCUGUCCUUGCGAGUUCGAUCGGGAAAGGUGGCGCGGGCACGCCUUCCACCGACCUCGACUCCGGCCGCCGACGCCAUCGUGCGUGCGUGCGUGCGUACCGGCGACCACCACAUCGACCUCAUCGGCGACUGCAGUACGUGAAGAUCGACCGACGUAGUAACAUAUGCAUGAGAAUUGCUGUUGUUUUAGGAAAUUCCGAACCAGCUAAUCAAUGAAGAAAUGACAUACUCAGAGCGCCACGCACACGCGACACCAAUCGAGAUCGAGACGGCUUUUGAUCCUGGAACAUAUAUCCCUGCUGACAGACACGCUAACGUAGCCAGGGAAACAACGUUGGUGAGGCUUCUCCCUCGUCCUGGUUCCGCUAGCGCUAGCUGCCGCUCUCCAUAAAGGUGGCCAGCUUGGGUCGCAUGCGCGCGGCGGCUUGUCGAUAACAGAACCGUGUUGGACGCGGACAGAGACAACAUAUACUCUUAGGCUGGUCAUAGUGGGAGUAACUUAGCUAGUACUUCCUUCGGUCUUUUUCAGUUCGCAUAUAAGAUUUGUUUGAAGUCAAACAUCAUAAACUUUGACUAAGUUUAUAGAAAAAAAUACCAACACUCAGAAUGUGAAAUCAACAACAUUAGAUGCGUCAUGACUUUAGUUUUCAUAAUGUAUAAAUUUAGCAUUGUAGAUGUUAAUAAUUUUUCAUAUAAAUAUAGUUAAACUUUAUGAAGUUUGACUUCAGACAAUUCUUAUAUGCAGAGUAAAAAGGAUCGAAGGGAGUAACAUAACACAUCCCUAAGACAAGUUUGCAUAUGUGGCACCUAGUUGAUGAGGAGAGAGGUGUUUGGAGCAACAUAUUAUGUUACCAUCACAUAGCGCUUCCUAAGAAAUGUUGAAUCUAUAAGCUAAUACUAGCACAAAUGCCCGUGCGUUGCAACGGGAGAGAAUACUGAUGUGUACUCAAAUUCAGUAAGAAAAUUGCUCGUGCGUUGUAACGGGAAUACAUUGUUAAUUUUUUGUCACGGCAGCAAAAUGUGCAAGGAAGAAAACAUGCAAGAUUAUGCUUGUUUUGAUCUCGCCGCGUCCUGGUUGGCACUCUUCUUGCUGUAUAUCACGUACAACAACCUGACAGCACCUGAGAUCCUGAUAAUUUCAAAUAUCGAUAAUGACUUUUCAACCUCGAUGAACAUGUAUAUACCUAAGUUUAGGCGCAACAAAAAUGUACCAAAUUGAACCAUGCAAGUCAUAUGUCAUCUAUAACAAUAAUCAAUUUAAGUGCACCUAUGCAAAUUCCUUUAUCAACCAGAGCAACCAGAUAACGAAACAUAUAAAAAUAGGAAGAUGCACGUUACUAUCUAAUUCAUUGAGAGGAAUUGUACAGCAUGGGACUACAGUAUAGACACAAAAUCAGAAAAAAAAUUAGAAUACAUUAGUGAACUGGCGUUUUGUGGUAGCGUAACUUCGGAUAGCGGAUCUUUGAAGCUCGGCAAGGAUCAACGGCAACGGCAGGGGAUCGAUCACUGGUGACUUAGAAAUAGGCCCUAUACCUUAAAAAAUCAUUUUGAGACCCAUGAGAGAUACUCCUGAACAAAAGAAAAACACUCAUGAACAAAAAAAAAUUCAGGAUAAUAACAUUUUUUUUAUUGUGAAACUACCAGAUGACAUCUUACUAAUGGCCAUGACCACGCAAGAAGUUCAAGUUUUAGGAAUUACCCGAACUCUGGUUUGAGGAUGAGAAAUAACAUGUUGUUUCGCAUACUAAGUACAAUAAUUCUGUUGUGGUGAAAUAAUUCUCAAGUAAAAGAAGAACAAUAAUUCUGUUGUGGUGAAAUUAAUAAUAAAGAUAUAUUGUGCAAUUGGGAGGAGAUGACCAAGAUAACAACACUUUGACAGUGUACAUUUUACAGUUUGACUACGUAGGAAAAUAUCCCUUUGAGCUCUUUGAACUGCCUUCAGAGAAAAAUCAAGCUUAGUUGAUGUGCUUAACUUUCAGGUUAGUGUGGUUAUUAUAAAUAAGGCAACUACUCUCUCUGUAAACUAAUAUAAAAGUGUUUAGAUAACUAAAAUAGUAAUUUGAAUGCUCUUAUAUUAAUUUACGGAGGGGGUACUUAAGUAGGAUACUCUUUGAUUUUUCCACUAUAUAUAGCCAAAUUAAUAAUGGAAAAGGUUUACUUUCAGCCAGAUGAUUUCUUACUACCUUAAAUCGGCUCCUAUGUGCGGCACGUGUCCCAUGAGAAGCCACCCACUGCUCCAAUAGCUUUGUCUCCUCGCCACCCCUCUUCUCCACUCGUUUUCUCUCUUUUUUUCCUUUCUUCCUUGUUCGUAACUGCCACAGGAGAGGUCGUCAAUCCCAUGGCAAGCACCACCAACCACCACAACUGGGAACUGAGAGGCACCGCCACCACCGCCGGAUGGAUGCUACCCUGCCCCAUCAGCCACCCUGCAGCUGCAAAUCCCGCCAUGCUCGUAGCUGCCAUUGAUACAAGCUAGAGAGGAUGACAUCGUCGCGAACCACAACAGGACUGCGUCGCGACAUCCACCGGAGGCCGCGUGCUGUCGAUAGUGGGCUCUGCAUCGAAGCAUCCAUCAGCGUCGCCGUGUGUUGUCGUUGUUGCAUCAGUGCAUCCGUCAUGGCCGUCGCACGCGGCGUCGCAGCAUCCAUCGGAGCCGCCGCAUGCUGUCGAUAGCGGGCACUGCAUCGAAGCAUCUAUUGGCGCCGCCAUGUGUUGUCGUUCUUAAAUCGGUGCAUCCCCCAUUGCCUUCGCACGCGGCGUCACAGCAUCCGCCUGCGCGGAUGCUGCCAUGGAGCUCGCCAUGCACGUUGCUGCAGUGGAGCAUCGAUGGGGCCGCUGGAGCUACAAUGAAGCGCCGCGAUGUCGUUGAACGCUUCGCUGGGUUGCAAUGAAGCGCAGCCAGAGUUGCAUUGAAUCGUCGCCGGAGCUGCAUUGAAGCACCACGGGUGCAUUGAAGCUUCGCCGGGGUUGCAUUGAAUCGUCGCCGGCAUUGUCGGUGCUGGCAUAGGAGCUGGUGUGUGCUGCGAAGCAUCUACGGACGGGGUGGGGGUGGCGCAGCUGCAAAGUCACAUACAUAGAGGCACCAGCGGCGAGGACAUGGCCGGCGUCGCUCAGACUUUUCGUAGCAUGAGUCCCGCUGCGUGGCGAGAGAUGGAACAGAUAGUGUCUAGGUUCGUGUCUCGUCGAAGCUGUGCUCGUCGGGAUUGCAACAUCCACUGUUGUGCGGUUGCCGGCGACGGUGCCGCGGCCGAGGCGUUGCUGCUGCAACCUCAUUUUGUGCAGAAGGUCACAGGUGUCAUUACAGGGCACGUUGUGUGUAGACGCAUGGAAAGGAAAGGAAGACUGGCUGCAUCGCAUGAAUUGGACGACCACCCGCGCUUGAAUCGUACGGCUAGCUAGCCGGAUGAUUUCCUAAUCAUCCGACUGAUCCGUAGCAGCUACCAUUAAUAAUAAAAUAGUCUUUGCAAAAAUGAAAACACAACGGAUAGUGAUUUGUUGGACUGACAUCACAUGCAAAUACAUCUUUAGCUGUCUGUUAUCUGUUGCUUUGUUUUCCAUCUCUACCCGUUGAUUCUCGCAGUCGUGUGUAUAUAAGUUAAUGGAAUUUGGUGUAAAAAUGCGAUGUGGGAUUAUUAGUUAGAUUGUGUAUCCUAUUAUUUUGAAUGAACAUGAGAUAGCUUAGUUGGUAGUUCCUGUGUGGUUGGGACAUGAGGUCGUGAGUUCAAUUCCCGCAUGAAGCAAUUAAUUUUUCUUGCCUUAAUGCCUGCCGGCCCAUGAGUAAUCCUGUGGCCCAAAUGAUGUACGUAAGGUACGUUUUUACCUGGGUUACAGGGGACGGCUCAUGGGCUAUUUCGUUCGCUCGGCCUUUUUUGGAUGGGCUGUUUCGUUCGCUUUCUCGAUGCCAAACGAUUUGAAUGAAAUUGACGCUUUAGUACCACCUCGCGUAUAUGUUUUAAAUUUAAACUAAAAGCAUAAUUUUACGAGAAGAAAGCGUAUUGUGACGGUGAACUCACGGAGUCAAUCCGAUAUACUAGUACAAAAUACCCGUGCGUUGCACCGGGCGGAUAAAUGGGCAUAACCUGCUGCAUGUGUCAUUGUGCAUCAAUUUUUAUAUCCAUUUUUAAUAAAUGUUGAUAAUAUGGUUAAACGUGGGAAUUUCCUUAUUUUUAAUAAAAGUUGACAUUUUAGAAAAAAAAAACAUGUGCGUUGCAACGGGUAUGAAAUAAAUUUUAGGGUUUGCUUGAUAUUUUAGAGUUUAUCUAUCAUGGUGAAAUAUCGAGCUCUAUCUCUUAAUCUGUUAGAUUCUUCCCCGUCUUAUCAUGAAUUCAUAUUUUUAGUUGACCACUUCAAAGAUAAGAUGACCAUUAGAUAGUAAAGAGUUUACAAUGCUUGAUGCCUGAGGUCGUGAGUUCAAUUCCCACGUAAGGUAUGUUUUGAAUGAAAUUGACGCUUUAGUACCACCUCGCGUAUAUGUUUUAAAUUUAAACUAAAAGCAUAAUUUUACGAGAAGAAAGCGUAUUGUGACGGUGAACCCACGGAGUCAAUCCGAUAUACUAGUACAAAAUACCCGUGCGUUGCACCGGGCGGAUAAAUGGGCAUAACCUGCUGCAUGUGUCAUUGUGCAUCAAUUUUUAUAUCCAUUUUUAAUAAAUGUUGAUAAUAUGGUUAAACGUGGGAAUUUCCUUAUUUUUAAUAAAAGUUGACAUUUUAGAAAAAAAAAACAUGUGCGUUGCAACAGGUAUGAAAUAAAUUUUAGGGUUUGCUUGAUAUUUUAGAGUUCAUCUAUCAUGGUGAAAUAUCGAGCUCUAUCUCUUAAUCUGUUAGAUUCUUCCCCGUCUUAUCAUGAAUUCAUAUUUUUAGUUGACCACUUCAAAGAUAAGAUGACCAUUAGAUAGUAAAGAGUUUACAAUGCUUGAUGCUCUUUUGUUGAUACACGACCACCAUUGGCGGAGGUACAUGCAUCCCUGCAGGUGCCGUUGCCCCCAGACUGGGCAAAAAUAGUGAAGAAAUUCUUUAUAGAGAUUUAUGGAUUGGGAAAAAAUAGAGAUUUUGCACCCCCUAGAAAUUGUUUUUUCUUUUUGCCCGCUCCCCCCAGUCUUCCUGGUCUAGCUCCGCCAGUGACGACCACCAACAGUAGGAGCACGCCGACUGCGCCAACACGGUUGCUUCCCUUGACACCAACAUCAGGGCUCGAACAGGAUCAGGAUAUAUGAUAUGACGGAGGGGAGUAGCCACAUGCAUAGAGGUGGUGCACGGAAGGACUAAGGACAUGAUCGGCAUAGCCAUGACCACAUCUCUCUCUCUCUCUCUCGCCGGCGUGAGAGUCGAAAUAGGACACAACCCCUCCUCCAGACCCAGUUCAAGCAGGAUGCACCGUUGCCAUACCCUCUCAACUCUUUGUCCGUCCCUCAUCUCUAUCUCAUCAACGGCAUCAGGAAUAUCAAGACUCGAGGAAUAUAUUGAUGAUCAGGUAGUCCAUAGGUGAGUCCGAAAUAUCUUUUCCCCUAAGAAAUAGUAUUUAUUUUCAAUAUUUUUUUAAACAAAUCUAUCAGGAACAUCAAGACUCGAGGAAUAUAUUGAUGAUCAGGUAGUCCAUAGGUGAGCCCGAAAUAUCUUUUCCCCUAAGAAAUAGUAUUUAUUUUCAAUACUUUUUAAACAAAUCUUUCCAAUAUUUCAGUCACACAUCUUUUAAGUACUGUAACUACUAAUGUAUUCAUAAUUAAUAUUAAGAUAUGGCAGGCUUAAACAGCAGCCAAGUAAAUUGUACUAUGCUAGCAGAGAUCGACACCUAGCAGCUCUACGCAGAAAAAGCAGAGACCGACACCUAGCUCUACGCAGAAAAGCAGAAGAAAAACAUCGCAUCGUUUAAAAAAAGCAGUAGCAACCAACACUCAAUCCCACCGACAAUUCCUUUUCCACCACUCAAUUCUUAUCUUCUCCACAUCCAUCACACCCAGCGCCACUUCUCCAUGCCAGGAGCCCAUACACAGCCCAGCCGCGCUGCAACAACGCCGCCGCCCGUACGCCGCCUCCCGCACCAACCACGCCCGAGCAAGGAACUCCCCUCGACCCCCGGCGCCUGCAGCCCCUCCUCGCCUCCCCCGUCCAGUCCGGUGAUCGGCGCCAUGGCCGGCUACCCCCCUGCAACUCCGGCCCGCUGCUCCGCUAACCUCCCCCCUCUCCAUUCCCUUCCCUAACUCCCUCCCUCUGGAUCUCUCCCUCACCUCUCACCCCCGUAUCUUUUCUGUACAGGGAGAAUCACACCCGCGCCAUGGAUCUCCGACCCCGACGCUCAAGCUCCCGCCGCUGUUCAGCGCCAGAUCCGCGCCGCCCCACCUUCUCCGACCGUGUCGGGAGCCGUCAUCGGCUCGUCGCUGCCUGUUUCGUCUGGGCAUGGAGACGACGAACACGAGGAUCACCCGCGACGUCCAGCGCCAAGUCCAGCUCGAUAGAGACCCUCUCUGCGCCACUGCGCACCGGUCCCGCUGCCCCCCGUCACCCCAGCCAUCUACCGGAGAGAGAGGGGCUCCCCACCACCACCCAGCGCCACUCCUCCAUCUAGCGCCCACGGCUCUGUUCCGCUUCCCUGAGGCAAGUCUGCGGCGGUGAUGCAUUGGCCUUGAGAGAGGCUCGUUUUAUCUGAUCUCUCUCUUAUUCUCUUGAUCAGCCAUCUCUGCUUUGUUAUUCGGCUUGUUAAAUUGUCUACUUUCGAACAUAUAUAAAUUUGUAGGAUUCGAUACAAAGCUACGAGGUGGGACUAAUAGUCAAUUUAAAGACUGCUGAUGUGGGGAAGGACUGAUGCAUCGGCGGGUGGGUGGGUUAUUUCGUUUUUUCUCUCGUCAAUAUCGGUUGGAGUUGACUUAUUAUUGCACUGCGGGUUGAAUACCCAAAAUCGCGGGGGCUUUUAUGCAAAAAUGCCAAUAACGUACGACCAGAAGCAGUAACUGCUUUAUUAGUAGUAACUGCUUUAUUAGUAGGUAAAGAUAUAUACUAGCACAAAUGCCCGUGCGUUGCAACGGGAGAAAAGUUUAUGUGUAUUCAAUUAUGUGCAAAACACAUCUAUUGUUCGUGAAAAUUCUGCAUGCAAAAGAUUCCUUGUGUUGCAAUGGAUAUUACAAAAAGAUUAAGAGUUUCUGUGGUAUUCAGUAGUUUACCUCGUUGUGCACAAUCCGCUUCUGCCUCCCUUAUCUUUCCUUUGGUGUGAAAUUGUUGACAUGCAAUGCUGAUCCUUAAAAAACAUAAAAUGAUAUGAUUUAGAUAUACAUGUGACAUUUGUUCUAUAAAGUUUUCACCAAAUUAUCGAUCAAAUGUAUGCCACUUUUAUAUAUUGCAGAAGCAAUUGAGAAAAUAAAUCACUGGGUUUUGAUCAAAAUCUACUGCCUUUGCUUUCCAAGAAAAGAACUUCCUUUGAAAUGCAUAAUUAGCAUUCACAUGAUGCUCAAUGUGAGCAAAUCAUUGUAUAAAUCUAUGCAAAGCCAAAUCACUAAAGUUACUCAUCAAGAUGCACGAUGCAAUUUCAAAGAAGGAAAUGAAAUAUAAUUUUGUAGCACUUGCUUAACAAAAAAUAAUCGGCCGCCAAAACUGGGUUCCUUCUAUGUCUUGCAUAUUACAUAGUAAACUUGCACGUGUAACACACGUAUUAUUAUGUGUUUUUUAUCAUUUGUCCAAGAAAUAAAAUAUAUAGCAAUAAAAUAAAUAAAAAUAUAAGUUAGACAAUAGAAAAUUAGAGAUGUUUAACAAUUGUGAAAAUAAAUUUUUUUAACGGAGGCAAAAGCUUUGCCUCAUCUCAUUAAUAAAGAAAAGAUUUGCUCGGUUAAUUACUAAAAACCAGGCGAAAACCGAUACAACCCACAAAGGGGCACCACCAGCCAACCUGGCUAUCCACACAAGACACACACACACGCCGUCGAAAGAAGAGCGCCGUCGAGGCAGACUACAAGUGUCAUCGUCAUCACUCCUCCGCAAGCCAGCGACUCUGACUUCACCGCAAACCACCAUCAUCGGUGCCAAACAGGACACCACCCGAACCUCCGCAUCGUAUAUUGACUGCUGCCAACCAAUGCACCCUCUGCCACCCGCAAACCAUGCCGCCGCAACCACAACACCAUCACGCUGUCACGCCCCGGCUUUGGCCUGCGGCAUGCCAGCGCCAUCAUCGGCAUCAACCACACCUCGCUGCAGCCAACUUGUCGCAGCUCACCGCAGCCCACACACAACAGACCGCUUCGACCACCGCAGACAGCAGACACCGCCAACCCACACCACAGCACACAUGAACUCUGAAAUCCCAAACCAUUUUUCAAGUCUCACAUGCUACACCUCUGAGAGUUUUGGGUAAAGUAGAAGUUCAAAUAUUAGUCGCGGUACAAAUAUUAAGAAUCUUGAUGUACUAUCAUCCAUUUGUUUGCAUAGAAACCAAUAAACAAACAUCACUCCAAUUCAGAGUAGCAAGGCAAACAAAAUAAAGACUAUAUGCAGACAAGAACGAAAAUUAUGUUAAUAAGCUACACAAUGCCACUUCAAUGGGAGAAUACAUAUUGCUAGUACACUUUGUCACUCCUCUCAUGGAGAAUGAAUGAAUUGCAAUUACUUAAACUUUCUUCACGUUGAAUGAGUGCAUCGAGGUAAAAUUGCAGAGACAUGAUUACAUCAUUCGUGGAGACAAAAAUACCUUGCAGAAAGCAACAACUCAAAAGGAUAAUUUACGACUUUCAGCUCAAGAGGAUUUGCCUCCAUCACCAGCAUAUAAAAGACCAAUGAACUAAAUAUCAAAGGUGCCACAAGCAUAGAAGUUUCAAGUGAUAUUUCGAUUUCCAAUAAACUGAUGAAAUAUAGUAAUAAAGGAGAAGCUAAUGUCAUGUGUGCACAACCAGCAUAUGAAAGACCAAUGUAUUACAGGAGAGUAUAUUCGGUUCAUAGAUAAUCAGUGAACAAGAGGACAUAAUUUCAGUUCAUAGCCAGCCUGCUAUAUAAUUCAUGCUAAUUAAAAAGACACUACUCUUAACCCGUCUUCAAUAAUUCUACAGCUAGAGCAAAUUAGAACACAACUUCUAAUUAUAAAUUCAUUUUUUAAGAAGACAUUUUCAUCAGCAUGCCAUGUUUUAUAAAGUUCCUCUGGCCAAAGGUUAUAAUCUAAGAAAAAAAUGCAUUUCAACUGUCAGUGGAAACACAAUUUUGUGGUACAGUGUGUAAGGUGGUUCGGUAACCCCCUUUACAGAAGUUUGAUGGCGAAUAAAGCUAAAUGUGAGAGUGGGUCUUACCACAAUUCCAAGAACUUUAAAGCCUCAUUAGAGCAUUUCAAGCCAAAUUCAUGGUCAGGCAAUAUAACAUCUCCAGAAAAUAAUAUAGAUGAGGUUAAUAUUGCAAGGCAGCCUUGUCGACAAACUCUUGUUACAGCUUGAAAAGAUAAAUGCUUCAGCAAUUAUUAGAAUUUUUCUGACCUGAGAGUUUCUCUGGCACCAUGAGGGGGCAUUAGGAGGGAGUGGCUCAUUUUCGGUGAGUUUAUGCUACAUUGUUGUCAUCAGAAAGAAGAGUUAAUACAUACUGAAUGAAUGCGACAAAUAAGCAUUGCAGAUGCCCUUGCAUUUAAUUGGAACCUCGGAUAGCUAGAAACAAGUGGGGCCUGACCAAAAGCUGCAGUUAGAAACACAUGAUGUUAGAUAUGAGAAUUGUUGUACAGAGAUUAACCAUAGCACAGUCUAAUAGAGAAACACAUGUUUGUGAUAAUUGGCCCUGGUUAAGACAGUCGAGAGCUGCAACUCUCUUUUGUGAUCAAGAUAUAUGAUGCUUCACAUUGUAUUCUGCUUUAUUCUAAUCCAACAUUCCUGCAUACCAUGACUGGACACUUUUCCUUUUAGGAUCGUCCGUUGGAUUAUGUGUCAUAUUUGUACUACAAUCCAUAAUUGUGUUUGUUAGGUCCUGAAACAGGGAACGUUCUCUUGAUUCAAACAGAGGCACAUCCAUUUGUUUCUUACUCAUCUGCAGAUAUAAAAGUACAAAUGAUAAACAAUAUAUAGAAGGGCAGACAGGGUGGUGAAGAUCAUUUAGGCACGGAGCAUAGUCAUGUGAACCAGGUCCUGACUAUUAUGUACAAAGCAUCACCAAUUAGUUUCUUAAAAAUAAAAUAAAGAUUUCAGUAUUAACCUAUAUAUGACUUUAAGAGCAAUGUACGUGUAUAGUAUAGUACUCCCUCUGUUCACUUUUAUAAGACCUUGAAGCAUUUCAGACAAUGUGUAAAACAGGCUAUUUGGAGUUGUCUGAAACGACUUACAAAAGUGAACGGAGGGAGUAUUAAAUAUUUUAGGGUGUUUGGCAUCAACAAAUAUUGCAGUGAUGUAAACCAUAGUAUCAUCUAUAAUGUAUGUUUUUGGACUAUUAAAAAACAUGUCAUGACCUCUUUUUUUAAACUGAGAAUGCUUUCUUUUUCCCAUCUCUUUCUCACCCCAUCCACCCUUCACUUCUGCCUUGUAUUUUCUACUUGAGUGCUUCAGUUAAAUCUUGGUUCUCAGCCGUGCGUACAGGUUUUAAAGCGUUGCUAGACAAAGAUACUUGUCCAUUGUUUGUCAGUCAGGAUACUGAUGGGUAAAAGUGGACAGUGGUAGUGGAAGGUCCAGCUCCUUGAACAUGGCGUCAAGCAUGGCCUGAUUGGGAUUUUGACAAUGCCCAUGGCCUCAUCCUAUGAAGAAUGCAUGGUGUCAUUGGGUAAAGGCAAAGGAGGAAAAUAACAACUGGUAGUUGCAUAUAAAAAGCACUCUACAAUUAAUCAGUUUGGAAGAAGGGUGAUUUUAACCUUCAGUAUCUGGUAUGAAAAAUAUCUUAGCUAAAUCAUGUAUAGUCACGUUGUGUAUAUAUAUAAUCCAUGUCAAAUAUAGACAUGCAGAAGUCUGUUAGUACUUACUCCACGCAUCACGACAAUUAUAAAGCAGUAAAAAUAGAUGAGUACAUUUGCUAGUUUGUCCUGGUGAAGAACCCAAACUAAAUGUGAAGACAAAUCUUCUAUUCUUAAGAAGGGAUUCUCUGAAUUUGAUUCUAGUAGAUGUCUGAAAGAUGGACGGGGAUCUCACUUGAAAGUCUCUGAAAAAAUAAAUCAUGCUACACAAAUCAGGUGCUGCAAAUUUCUUCAGUGGUGAGCCAAAGAUGAAUUGCUCUCUGUAAAAUCAAUUGCGAUGGAUUCUGAAGAUACAAAGGAAACGAUAGGGAUGUUUAGAAAGAACUGUUCAUGCCUUUCGGUGGAAGUCUUUUCUUGCCGAGGGUUUGUCGAGGCUCGGCUGCUCUGCAGGAAAAAGAGGACGGAGGAGGGUUAGGAGCGGGAUUAGCGGGAUAGAGUAGAUCAAAGAAAAGAACUGAGCAGAUCCAUGGCGUGGUUGUACCUCGUGCAGGGUGAAUGAAUAGUACCAUGUGCAAUGAGCCAAUGACUGAAACUGUAAACACGUAGUGGCUUCAAAGACCCAAGACCACUUCGCCUCGCCUCCCUCGAGCACGCGAGUCGCGUGGCCUCGCGAGACGGUCGGACGACGGAGAGGCGCGCGUGCCGGGCGCCGCCACAAGGCGAGGAGUUGCGGGCGGGACGACAGCUCCAGUGUGAGGCACGGCAAGGUGUUGCAGGCGGAAUGGCGGCGCCGAUGCACGGCAAGGUGUUGCAGCGGACGAUGUGGGAGCGCGGCUGUGGGGCGGCGUCGAGGCAAGCCUGGGAGGAUGGGAGGAGCGGUUAGCGGACCUGUCGACGGAGGAGGAGAGUGGAGGCGCAAAUGUGAAGGGGAUUGGUUCUGGGCCGAGCGACCAGUGCGGUAGGGCGGGCCGAGCGGCGUGAAGGGGGAGGCGUCGGAGUGGGCAGUCGGGGGCGUGCUGCUGCUGCUGUCGCUCGGCGUGGUGCUGCUGUCGCUCGGCCAUCGGGGGCGUGCUGCUGCUGCUCGGCCGCCAGCGAGAAGGCGCGGCGGCGGGGCGUGAAGGCGAGCGGGGCCGUGAAGGGGCGGCGGCGGCGAGGCGUGAAGGGGCAAGCAGCGGCGGGGCGAGCGGCCGUCGGGAGCGUGGAUAUGAAGGCAAAACGAUCGGGCGGACGGAUCGACGGACGAACAUGCUAUUAGUACCACCUUGUGUUAUAUUAUUAUAUGACUAUAGUACAAAUGCCCGUACGUUGUAGCGGACGAAAAAAUUGAAAAACCCCUACUUCACAUGUCACUACGCUUCACUUAUUUGGACUAUAAAGUGUUCAUGUGAGAAGUCACCCUAACGUCCUUCUUUGACGCAUGCUUACGCUCUGCAUUUCUAACAAAGGAAAGAAUAGUGAUGCAUGGAAUAGUUUUUUUCCGGCAGAAACAUACAAUCUGAGUCUUACAGAAGCAUGGGAUAGUCUUUUAGCGGGAGAAACAUACGUGUGAUUUUUAGGGCAUAUCCAACGUUGACCUGCAAAAGAGACACCNNNNNNNNNNNNNNNNNNNNNNNNNNNNNNNNNNNNNNNNNNNNNNNNNNNNNNNNNNNNNNNNNNNNNNNNNNNNNNNNNNNNNNNNNNNNNNNNNNNNNNNNNNNNNNNNNNNNNNNNNNNNNNNNNNNNNNNNNNNNNNNNNNNNNNNNNNNNNNNNNNNNNNNNNNNNNNNNNNNNNNNNNNNNNNNNNNNNNNNNNNNNNNNNNNNNNNNNNNNNNNNNNNNNNNNNNNNNNNNNNNNNNNNNNNNNNNNNNNNNNNNNNNNNNNNNNNNNNNNNNNNNNNNNNNNNNNNNNNNNNNNNNNNNNNNNNNNNNNNNNNNNNNNNNNNNNNNNNNNNNNNNNNNNNNNNNNNNNNNNNNNNNNNNNNNNNNNNNNNNNNNNNNNNNNNNNNNNNNNNNNNNNNNNNNNNNNNNNNNNNNNNNNNNNNNNNNNNNNNNNNNNNNNNNNNNNNNNNNNNAAAGCUAUCCGCAUAUGUCCGGUUGCAUUUCAGAAGAAAUUUAACAAAAGUCAACAAAUUUGAUGGAUAUUUAAACAAACCGGAUGAUAUUCAUUCGUACUUGAAUAAUUUUUAGACAAAACCAGAUGCUUUUCAUAUAGACCGGAGCAAACUAAUUACAUUUCGACAUAUUUGAACUAAAUCCUACUCUAAACCUAGUCUAAAUGUCCGCCAACACCCGUUCGCCCAUUUUCGGCCGGCCAUGAGCCCUGGGAACUGAAAACUCCAGCUUCGCCUCCACAGCCUACAAGCGGCUAAUUGGCCGACGAUUUUGAGCCCGUCAAUCUUGGCUUAGCGGGAGCUAAAGGGCAGUGACCUUCUUGGUGUCCGAGCACAGGUGAACUCCCAUGAUAUACUUUUCCUCGCUGUCGCUAGCGCCCUUGGACGUGCCGGCUUUGUGGUCGUGGCGGUGAGGCGCGGGCGUGGCGGGGCUAGCAACGUCUUCCUCGUCCUCGCUCUUUCCAUAGACUUUGUCGCCCGCCUCACUGAUCUCCUUGAAGACCACUUCUAUCUCCGACUGACGUUGGCGGUACCGCCAACGGCCGCGACGGAAUUUGUAGGCCGUGCGAUAGGAGUCGACCAGCGCCUUCUCCUCCGCCUGGUCCAUGUCUGGUGCUCCGUGCCGGUGGCAAGUUGCUCCAUCACGCACCAGAGCUCAUUGAGGAGGUGGAGGUUGUACUCCUGGUCGGCUUGAGCCUGUCGGAACAAGGCCUCCUGCACGGGCAUGCCGGCAUGGACUGACGAGGAGGGUGGCGUCGCCCGUCAUUGGUCACAUCUUCCAUUGGGAUGUCCGCAGCGCCGGCCACCGUCUGCCUGGCGGCCUGCAAACCGGCAGCAAUGGCGGCAUCUCAGUCUUUUGGUCGAACGAGAGGUUGUCCCAGAUGGCUUUGGAGCUCAAGGAGGCCAUGACGGUCGUGGUGCGGUGAGGAAGAGGAUGGAUGCGUCUAUGACUGGGGUUGGAGUUUAAAUAGUCGGCGAAUGACAGGGCAAGCGAAGAGGUGGCUAAUGGCGGGCAGUAGACGAACAGACCUGUGGCGCCGGAGUAGGUUCUUCGGCAACCGCGCAUGUUUAAUGUAGGGAGGCGGAAUGAUGAGUUAUCAUUUGAACGUGGAAUUACAGUGUGCACCGGGAAACGGCGUGGGCUGCAUUCUCGUCCGGCGUCGCUUCAAUGCCAAAGGGCCAUUGAGAUGACGCAUCGCUCUAAGCCGGCAUGAAUGCAAGAUCGAUGCUUUGGAGCGGCGCUGGCCACUUCGGAUAGGAGGGACAUGGGCAAAGGAGGGUUUUUUGGGUGGGCCAUGGCAGAUAGAAUCAAGCGUGACAGCGGUUUGGAUGUCCGCAAAGCCUUCAAUUUGUUUUCGUAUUGCGGGAGAAAAUAAGUCUGGGCCGGUCGACAGACCGAUAUAGACCCGCAUUGAAUGGCAAAACACGUCUGGACCAUGAGGUCUGGACGGUUGUGGUCGUUUCGAGGCUCGGUGUUGAAGAUGCCCUUACAUACUCUUCGAGAGUUUAAUAAUUCAUUUAAAAUAUUUUAUCAAAUUAUCAAAAGAUUUGGAUUCUAAUGAUUUUGAUCAUGUAGUUUUUUAAUGGAAGGUUUGUUUGAUUUAGAAGAUUAAAUGUUGGCCCAAGCGCAAGAAAUACUAUAAUCCCCUCGCAAAAAUUAGAAAAAGAAAUACUAUAACCGGGACAAAACAGGGUUGGGGGCUUGGGGCCUACUGACCGGCACGUAACACCCAUCAGGCCAUCAACGUGUGUCCACCGAGAAGCAUCUGCGUCCAUCUCCUUUCUCCCGCUCCAUCUCUCUUUCUCAUUCACGUGCUUCCACCGAUCUUCUUAGACCAAGCAGCUAGCGGGAUUAGCCGCGCUGUGAGCUGGCUGCCCGGCGAGGUUCGUUCCCAGGUUGCCGGCGUGUGUCAAUCGUGUGAGGCGGGCCCAGAUGUGAAGCCUCCACACCCAAAGUUGUUGGCUUCCCCAGUUCCACCGGAGCGAGCGCGAGCGUCGCCGCCGGAUCUGCCAAUAGUGUCACACAGGCGCAGAUGUGAGGCCUCCACCAAAGUUGCUGGCGCCCCACGUUCCACCGGAGCGAGCGCCGCCGCUAGAUCGCUCGUCCCUCUCCCCUCCUCUGUGCGUGUCUUAGACUAGUCAUAGUGCAUAGCACGAUAGAUUAGUCUCAUUUAUUAUCAUGCAUGACACAUAGUAGCAUCAUAUUUAUUAUGUUACGGUAUUUUUCUAUAUUACUAUAAUUAUCUCUCUUCUUUAAUUGCCUGCCACAUAAAUAUUAUUGUGAGUCCGAAAUACAUAAUACUAUUUAUGUUACCCCACUAUGGCCAGCCUUAUCAUCUGCAGACCGCAGCGCGUGCCACUGCUGCUCUCGCGAAAACGACCUCCUCACCUGCCCUGCCCACUUCUUCGUUCACAAGGUGGCAGUUGCUAGAUCUCGAUACGGGGACCUGUCCUUGUAUUAUCGUAUCCACGUAGGAGCAUCUAUAGUUGUGAUGGCCAAAUCUGGCCUCUCAAACAGUCGGGCACGCCUCGUAUUUAGCACUUUGCAUCUGCGUAUCUCAUAUCCGACGCCUUAUAUCUAUACUACACAUGCAAACGUUGAUCUUCCCUACAUGAUCAAACGAUGGACAACAAAAACCAACUACAAAAAAACACAAAAUCGACUGCAAACGGACAUUAACAAACUUCGCCACAUGCAAAAAAUCUUAGUUCAUCGUCGGACAAGUUCUUAAACUUGUACAACUACAAACGAUAUAAACAUUGAGGAGGGGGAUGAAUCACCACUUCCUCGCCGGGCCUUUGCCCUUCCGGUCGCCGCUGCAGUUGUAGGUGUCUGCAGCUGGUGGAGGGUCUUGGUCGUCCAAUGAGGAGGUGCAGCUGUUGCCGUCGUUGGAUUUGGAGUCGGAGAGGACGAUGAGUCCCUUCAUCCGACGAACCAUCCUGUCUCCCCCCCUUCAACCUGGCGACUCGAGCCUUCUUCAUCGUUGCCUCCUUCGCCUCGCGCUCCGAUUGCUCAAUAGCAAGCCGGAGCGCCUUUGCGUUCUUCUGUCGGAGGCGGGGAGUGUCUGUCUCUACCGUCGUGAGGGAGCGGCGGUAGAUUCAUGUGAGAAGACGUGCGUCCUUGUCGGGGGCCGCCUCCGUCCCGCGGCGGUGGCGCACGGACUGCUCCGCCGCGUCCCUCUCCCGUGCAUGCUACCUCUCGCGGCGCGCGAUGCGCGCCUCUGACUUCGGAGACCGGAGUGCACGUGCGUGCCGGCGACGCGGGCACAAGCACCCAACGUUGGCCGUGAGAAGGAGUGGCCGGCGGGGGAAGAAGACGGCGCGGAGCCGAUGCAGACUAUUCUGUCAUUGCAUCGCUGCGCGCGGGCCAGGAGGGUGCAGCUCCGGCGUCCACGACGCUCCUGAUCCGGAGCCGCCGCCGAUCUUCACCUUGGACCGCCCCAGCGCAAUGCGGAGGGCCAUCUCCUCCUCGUAGUCGAGCUCCGAGCCGGAAUCGCUGUCGGAGCUGCUCAUCGUAGUGGAUGGGGGCGGAAUCAGAGAGGGAGAGGAAUGGACGGAGCGAGAGAGAGGGGGAGAGUGAGCUAGGGUUUGAGCUCGUCGGCCGGAUUGGGUUAUUUUAUGGGAUCGAUGGUGGGUCGGGCCUGUCAGGCGGACGUGCCGGGGUCAUCCCAUAUCCGCCCUAUAUUUGGACUGGAUAUGGCGGGUGUCGGUCAGCCCGGACGUUUGUCUGCAGUUUUAAAGGUCUGAUUGGGUUGAUUUUUUUUUGACCGGUCAAUGACCGGACGGAUUGCCCGGACGUUCGAGACGGGUAUGAAAGGCCCGAGUGUAGAUGCUCUAAGGCCUUGUACAAUGAUGGAUGCUUACAUACAGGUGCUUGAGAAAAAAGUGCACCGUUGCACAUCGUCUUGCAAUGCAGAGGUGCUAGGCACAGGUGCUUCGAUUGCUCAGAAAGAGGCAUUUGGCCCCUUUUUCCCCGUCAAUAAGGCUUUAAGGGAGCAUUUAUUUUCUAAGCACUGGCUGGCACAGGAAGUAAACAUUUGCUUCUGCCUCCGUUCCUAAGCGCCGGUGCAAUCCAACAUGAGUAAAAGAAAACAGGUUUAUUUCUACGGCAUCUGGCUAAGCACCCGGCGUUGUGCAUGGGCCUAUUCUACCUCAGUUGUUGACACCGGACACAAAAUAUGUCUUCCGGAGGGUUUCUUCAAAUCCAGCCCAUUUAUCUUUUUGGGUUGAUGCCCCGCCGGAGUUCAUUGUUAAACUAUUAGCGAAUGAUGUAACGGUCAUAUGAUUAAUAAAGUUUGUCUUCCUGUAAAAAAAAGCAUGCAUUAACGCUUGGGUUUGGUCACCAUGUUUGGUUAGACCAGUGCGAGAAAUUUCUUUCUUACCUGUAAACAUUGUGGUGAUAUAAAUAAAGCUUAGCAAGAGUGCCUUGAAAAGAAAGAGAGAGAAAAAACUACUCAUUGUGCACCUUGACGCCACCGCUUGCUUGUCAUUUGGAGCGAUCAAUCAAAGAGCCAUACUUGUAAGUUGAACCAACAUUCCAGCAGCACGAAACAUCCAUAUUGUGCAAGCCAGCGUGUUCGCCGCGUAUACUUGCGCGGCGCAGGCCUGCGUUUAGGGCCUUUUCUCAACCUUUACAAUAUAUAAAUAAAAAUGCCUUCGGGGUUUCUCUCCCCUUGGGUCGAGUUUUUUUUUUAAGCAGCACGAAACAUCCUUGUUCCCUCGUUUGGUUCAAGGACUGAUGAACUGAUUCUCGAUUUGGCGUGUGCAGAAACAAAGCAGCUAUGCUUCGAAAAGAGCCACGCACGUACAUCCAUGGAGAAACGGCGGACCAAGCGCACCCGACGCUCUUGCCGUGCCGUGUCUGCCGAAGCCGACGGGGCCGAUGAACCAACAGACACAGCAGAACCACUCGUGCCCUUCCACAGAGCACAGAGCGGUCGAAACGCUUGCAAUCUUGGAGAGGAGUUUGACCUGUAGCAGCUUCCGGCCCACCGGGCGGCGCUUACUUACUUAUUGACCGCUAGCUAGCUUACUCACUGAAUCUAAGACUGCAAAAGACGACGCAGGAGAAAGAAAGAAAAAUUCAAUCUUCAUUCUUACAAGAACACAUACACACACAU
This 43960-nucleotide long non-coding RNA is filed under the name Triticum aestivum (bread wheat). RNAcentral describes it as "long non-coding RNA (TAES_LNC002367)". Lineage: Eukaryota; Viridiplantae; Streptophyta; Magnoliopsida; Poales; Poaceae. The record is from RNAcentral.